CUUACGGGAGGCAGCAGUGGGGAAUGUUGCCCAAUGGAGGAAACUCUGAUGCAGCGAUGCCGCGUGAGUGAAGAAGGCCCUUGGGUUGUAAAGCUCUUUCGUCGGGGAAGAAAAUGACUGUACCCGAAUAAGAAGGUCCGGCUAACUUCGUGCCAGCAGCCGCGGUAAU
Molecule: ribosomal RNA, 169 nt
Filed under: uncultured bacterium
Lineage: Bacteria
Description: partial 16S ribosomal RNA
Rfam family: Bacterial small subunit ribosomal RNA
Source: RNAcentral